Molecule: ribosomal RNA, 333 nt
Filed under: Ginkgo biloba (maidenhair tree)
Lineage: Eukaryota; Viridiplantae; Streptophyta; Ginkgoopsida; Ginkgoales; Ginkgoaceae
Description: bacterial SSU rRNA
Rfam family: Bacterial small subunit ribosomal RNA
Source: RNAcentral
AAGUAUGUUGUCAAUUCCCAGGGCUCACCCUGGACAGGCGGCGGAAACUUCCAAGCUGGAGUACGGAGGGGCAGAGGGAAUUUCCGGUGGAGCGCUGAAAUGCGUAGAGAUCCGAAAGAACACCAACGGCCAAAGCACUCCGCUGGGCCGACACUGACACUGAGAGACAAAAGCUAGGGGAGCGAAUGGGAUUAGAUACCCCAGUAGUCCUAGCCGUAAACGAUGGAUACUAAGCGCUGUGCGUAUCGACCCCUGCAGUGCUGUAGCUAACGCGUUAAGUAUCCCGCCUGGGGAGUACGUUCGCAAGAAUGAAACUCAAAGAAAUUGACGGGA